CCUACGGGAGGCAGCAGUGGGGAAUAUUGCACAAUGGGGGGAACCCUGAUGCAGCGACGCCGCGUGGGUGAAGGAGUAUUUCGGUAUGUAAAGCCCUAUCAGCAGGGAAGAACAAUGACGGUACCUGACUAAGAAGCACCGGCUAAAUACGUGCCAGCAGCCGCGGUAAUACGGAGGAUCCGAGCGUUAUCCGGAUUUAUUGGGUGUAAAGGGGGCGCAGACGGCGAUGCAAGCCAGGAGUGAAAGCCCGGGGCCCAACCCCGGGACUGCUCUUGGAACUGCGUGGCUGGAGUGCAGGAGGGGCAGGCGGAAUUCCUGGUGUAGCGGUGAAAUGCGUAGAUAUCAGGAGGAACACCGGUGGCGAAGGCGGCCUGCUGGACUGCAACUGACGUUGAGGCCCGAAAGCGUGGGGAGCAAACAGGAUUAGAUACCCUGGUAGUC
Molecule: ribosomal RNA, 441 nt
Filed under: uncultured bacterium
Lineage: Bacteria
Description: partial 16S ribosomal RNA
Rfam family: Bacterial small subunit ribosomal RNA
Source: RNAcentral